RNAcentral lists this ribosomal RNA (497 nucleotides) under uncultured bacterium. RNAcentral's name for it is "partial 16S ribosomal RNA". It matches the Rfam family "Bacterial small subunit ribosomal RNA", at positions 28 to 507 of the family's 1533-position model. The record is from RNAcentral.
GAUGAACGCUGGCGGCGUGCCUAAUACAUGCAAGUCGAGCGAACAGACGAGGAGCUUGCUCCUCUGACGUUAGCGGCGGACGGGUGAGUAACACGUGGAUAACCUACCUAUAAGACUGGGAUAACUUCGGGAAACCGGAGCUAAUACCGGAUAAUAUCUUGAACCGCAUGGUUCAAUAGUGAAAGACGGUUUUGCUGUCACUUAUAGAUGGAUCCGCGCCGCAUUAGCUAGUUGGUAAGGUAACGGCUUACCAAGGCAACGAUGCGUAGCCGACCUGAGAGGGUGAUCGGCCACACUGGAACUGAGACACGGUCCAGACUACUACGGGAGGCAGCAGUAGGGAAUCUUCCGCAAUGGGCGAAAGCCUGACGGAGCAACGCCGCGUGAGUGAUGAAGGUCUUCGGAUCGUAAAACUCUGUUAUUAGGGAAGAACAAAUGUGGAAGUAACUAUGCACGUCUUGACGGUACCUAAUCAGAAAGCCACGGCUAACUACGUG